Molecule: ribosomal RNA, 482 nt
Filed under: uncultured bacterium
Lineage: Bacteria
Description: partial 16S ribosomal RNA
Rfam family: Bacterial small subunit ribosomal RNA
Source: RNAcentral
GACGAACGCUGGCGGCGUGCUUAACACAUGCAAGUCGAACGCUGAAGCUCAGCUUGCUGGGUGGAUGAGUGGCGAACGGGUGAGUAACACGUGAGUAAUCUGCCCUCUUCUUUGGGAUAACGCCCGGAAACGGGUGCUAAUACUGGAUAUUCACUGAUUCUCGCAUGGGGGUUGGUGGAAAGGUUUUUUCUGGUGGGGGAUGGGCUCGCGGCCUAUCAGCUUGUUGGUGGGGUGAUGGCCUACCAAGGCUUUGACGGGUAGCCGGCCUGAGAGGGUGACCGGUCACAUUGGGACUGAGAUACGGCCCAGACUCCUACGGGAGGCAGCAGUGGGGAAUAUUGCACAAUGGGCGAAAGCCUGAUGCAGCGACGCCGCGUGAGGGAUGGAGGCCUUCGGGUUGUAAACCUCUUUCGCUCAUGGUCAAGCCGCAGCUUUGGGUUGUGGUGAGGGUAGUGGGUAAAGAAGCGCCGGCUAACUACGUG